AAAGGAAAAAAAACCAACAACAACCACCACCACCCAAAAAAACCAAAACCCCACGGCGGGGAGGGCCGGGCUGCGCCUAUGGAGCAGCAAAGCGGACACCCCCCCCGCCCCCCCGCAGCGCAGCCCAACUCCGGCCGGGCUCGGCUCCUCCUCGCAGCCCGCAGCGCCCCGGCCCCAUCGCCGCCGCCUCCUCUUCCUCCUCCCCCUCCCCCUCCUCCUCUGCCUCCUCCCCUCGCCCGGGGCACCGGCGGCGCUGCGGAGGGAUCGCUCCCGGUGCAGGGGUGGGGAGGGAGGAGGAGGAAGGCUCCGGCCCCGCUCGCCCGCAGCGCAACCGGUGCUGCCUCACUGCUGCCAAAUAGCUUCAAAUCCAGCUGUGGUGCUACUGCCCUCCCUGAGCAGGAUGGAGGCUCUGGGAUGGGUGUACUGAGAUGGAGGCACUGAGAUGGAGUCUUGCUACUCAGUGUGGACACCCCGUGGUCCCAAAGAGGGGAAAACUUAGCUUUGGGAGUGGGAUCAGUGCCAUGACCCCUAUGGCUUCCUUAGCACAGCAGCGUUGGCUCAACUCUGG
Long non-coding RNA from Pezoporus flaviventris, 568 nucleotides. RefSeq lists it as uncharacterized. The record is from RefSeq and is a predicted model, not a curated record. NCBI's taxonomy places the organism in Eukaryota, Metazoa, Chordata, Aves, Psittaciformes, Psittacidae. The transcript is spliced from 2 exons.